Molecule: long non-coding RNA, 3165 nt
Filed under: Homo sapiens (human)
Lineage: Eukaryota; Metazoa; Chordata; Mammalia; Primates; Hominidae
Description: long non-coding RNA NONHSAT129677.2
Source: RNAcentral
AGGCUUUCAAGGGCUGCCCACCUACCGGGCACGAUCUUCAUCGGGGACGGUGGCAGGAGCCCACGGGGCAGACGGAGCGGGCCAGGGGUGUGGGAGGUCACAGGCCCCUCGGAGGAGGCACAAGCCACUGGCGGCAGCGUCGGGUGGGAGGAGGGCACGGCCGUGCUGCUGUCAGCAGCAGCUUGUGGGGGAGGGGAGCAGUGGGCAGGGGCCCAGGGGAUAUAAAUAUCCGAGGAGGGCGCGCAAGGACCGUCACCACCCAGACUUGGAACAUGACGCACGGCGCCAGGGCACCCAGGCCCCGCUGCAGUCAGGUCUGGCUGGACGGUGCCACCCGACACCUCGGUCCCCCAGCUCCCACAGGGGGUUCUAAUAUAAUAGAGCAGGGCGCGGGAGGUGCGGGCUCACGUCCCUGCAGGAGGCGGUGCAGUCCCCACCCACCUGCCCUGCCAAGCCAGGGGGUGCUCUUGGAAAGGCCACAGGGGCCAAGAGAAGAGGCCGCCCAUUCUCCCAGAGGGCCCUGCGCAGGUCACUCAACACAGCACCUGGCCCCACCGGUGGCCGGGACAGCCACCCCAAAGUCACGCGCAGGCCAGAGACCCAGGCAGCCCGAAACCAGGGCUCAGGCCUGCGCCUGCCCCACAGCACAGCCUCUCCUGGGGUCCCAGGGAUCUGGGAUGGAGACGCCUCUCCUGGGCCACGGCAGGAGACUGGCCUGGCUCCACCCAGGAGUCCCGAAGCCCUGCUCUGUGGAAGGCCUGGGUCAGAGAGCCGGGCCACAGGCAGGCCCACAGCAUAUCCUAUGCAGAUCAGAUCCCAAUGCAGCCGGGGAAACAGGACGUGGGACACGCACAGUCCUGCUCCUCUUCCUGGGACCCCUGUCUGCUGGGCGCACCCCUCAGGCCCAGGAGAAUGCACGUUGACGGUAUACCCCAUUCCACAGCGUCGCUCCUGGCACCACAUGGAACCCUCAGCAAACCCCAUGAAGUCCUAUACCAUGAAGGCCUCAUACAGACCAGGAGCCUGAGGCGCCGCCUGCUGUCCCGCACGCUGCCAUCUGAGCCCAGGUGGCCUCCAGUGUAGUUACCUCAGCCCACAGCAAGGCACAGUGAACCAGCCUGGCCCCGGGCCACUGGGCAGGCCACCCAGGUCCAUGCUGGGAAGCCCGCGGACAACAAGAGGGCCGGGCCCACCCCAGCCUCCUGCUCUCCAGCCCCACACCUCAAAAACGUGCGGCCGAGGGAAAUGCCUGCAGUGGCCCACUCUGGGCGGCCAGGGGUCGGGCGGGCCCAGGCAGCCCUGAGGGUCAGGGAUACCCAGGCAUGCCAGAAAGGGCCCAACUCCCAGCUGAGCCCAGGACAGCAUCUGGCCAGCAGUGGGCAGGGGCCGACAGGCCGGACGUUUCAGCCCACUCCCUGCCACGUGCUGGGGAAGCCUCAGAGGAGCCUGACUCAAUGGCCUGGGUGAGAACCAGCUCCUGGCGGGAGGAGUGCCCCAGGCUGGCAGCGGGCAGUUCUUCUACCACUCCACGGAGGUCCGGACAGGCCUGUGCUUCCGGGACACACAUCACACACACCCCUGGGGCAGCUCCGAGAGGGGGCUGUGCCUAUCCCUGCAUCCCAGGUCUGACGGCACAGAACGGUGGACAACGGGAAGAGACAGGUCUGCCAGAGGCGGCCCCGGCCCUCUCCUCUGCCUCCCACAGCCCCCAGCUCUGCCUGCCCUACCUUGGCCCAGCUGAAUCAGCUCCUCCAUGCUGUACCUGUCCAUGGCUGCCACACAGGCCAGGCUGCUCCGAGAGCCGGCAGGGAGGAAGGCGAGGCAGGAAGGAGGGAAGGGGUGGGAGGCAGAGGGAGGGCCCACUCAUGCCCUGGUAGCAGCGGCUCCUCCUCGCAGCCACCCCUUAGUCAGUAAGCAGAGAUGAAGCCCAGCCGACUGACGGGUCAGACCAGCCCAGCAGACCUGCCUGGGGGUGCAGGGGACUGGCCUGCCUGCAAUCCCAGAGAGCCCUCCGGCCCCAGCCCACGGGUCUUCCCUACUGUUCCUGCCCCGCCCAGCAGACCCCCCGCCCAGCAGACCCCACCCUGUAGCCUCCCCUUCCCGCUGCAGGCCCCACCAGCCCAGCCCUGCCCUCCCACCCUCCCACCCACAUUCCAGGCAUCCAUGUGCCCAGCGGUAUUUCAGGAGCCAGGCGGGAGCAGAGCCCCAAACUGCCCACCACACCCCACUCCUUGAGACUCACAUUCCUCAGCCCCAAAGGUGGUCUCUUCCUCCACCUGAGUCCUCCCCAACCAGCACAGCCCCAGGCAUCUGUCCAGGGGCAAUGGUGACACCUGCCUCCCCUCUCCAUACCUCUCCACCCAGGUGCUUGCUGACCAGUGAAGUGCAAAUCAAAUCCCAUCGUAACUACCCCUUAGAAGCCUGCCGGCGAUCUACAGAAAUCCCGCAAACGGGUGACUCGGCCAAGCCAGUGAUCCCUGUGGAAAGCUGGCCGGGCCAUAGUCCCUCCACCUAGAGCACCCUGUGGCUGGGAAGAAGGGCAAGGCAGCCAGGCCACCUCCAGGCUUCCUCCUUGACGCAGGGCCACAGAGGGUCAAGGGGGGAGGUCAAGGCACAGGCGUGUCCUCCGUGUAGAGGGGAAGUCAUGGUGGCUACCCAACCCCUGCCCUUUGCUGUGGGAAGCAGCUCUAGGUGCUGUGCGUGUACAGCGCUCACCGUGGUGGCGGCUACCUGGCCCCUGCCCGUUGCUGGUGCAUGGACAGCGCUCAGCUGGCGUCUCCUCCACACAAUCCUCGGUUCCUUCAGAAUUUUGAGCCAGGCAAAGCAUCGCCAUUUGCAAUGUAAAUUAGGGCUGGGCGGUAGCUAUAAUCCCAGCACUUUGGGAGGCUGAGGCAGGCGGAUCACCUGAGGUCAGGACUUCAAGACCAGCCUGGCCAACAUGGCGAAACCCCGUCUCUACUAAAAAAAAAAAACAAAAAUUAGCCAGGCAUGGUGGCUCAUGCCUGUAAUCCCAGCUACUCAGGAGGCUGAGACAGGAGAAUCGCUUCAACCCGGGAGGCGGAGGUUGCAGUGAGCCAAGACUGUGCUAUUGCACUCCAGCCUGGGCAACAGAGCGGGACUCCAUCUCAAAACAAUAAGUAAAAUAAAAAUGAAACGUAAAUGAAA